ACGAACGCUGGCGGCGUGCUUAACACAUGCAAGUCGAACGGAAAGGCCCUGCUUUUGUGGGGUGCUCGAGUGGCGAACGGGUGAGUAACACGUGAGUAACCUGCCCUUGACUUUGGGAUAACUUCAGGAAACUGGGGCUAAUACCGGAUAGGAGCUCCUGCUGCAUGGUGGGGGUUGGAAAGUUUCGGCGGUUGGGGAUGGACUCGCGGCUUAUCAGCUUGUUGGUGGGGUAGUGGCUUACCAAGGCUUUGACGGGUAGCCGGCCUGAGAGGGUGACCGGGCAGGUGGGAGCGGGGAGACGGCGAAGGCUAUGGAGGGAGGAGGAGGUGGGGAAUAGAAGAAAGUGGGGGAAGGCAGGCAGCAGCAGCGCGGCGUGGGGGAGGGCGCUUGGCGGGUUGAACACCGCGGGCGCUGGCGAAGAGGGGGGAGGGAGGGAAAGGGGGAAAGAAGCACUGGCAAACCGCGCGACAGCCGCCGGGGAAAGAGCCCGAAGAGAAAACCUCUGACC
Molecule: ribosomal RNA, 508 nt
Filed under: uncultured bacterium
Lineage: Bacteria
Description: partial 16S ribosomal RNA
Rfam family: Bacterial small subunit ribosomal RNA (bases 19-331)
Source: RNAcentral